RNAcentral lists this long non-coding RNA (349 nucleotides) under Gossypium barbadense (sea-island cotton). RNAcentral describes it as "long non-coding RNA (GBAR_LNC000870)". Lineage: Eukaryota; Viridiplantae; Streptophyta; Magnoliopsida; Malvales; Malvaceae. The record is from RNAcentral.
UAUUUUACACAAGCACCACAACAUGCGCAGUCAUUUCCUGCACCGAUACCUUCUCUAGUGAUAUAUUUCACACGGCUACCACCCCUUACAUCGUAUUAUACACCUUAUGCGUCAUCGCCCCAUGCGACACCAUAUAGUGGCCCGCUGAUAGUGUCGCAAACACCCCCAACAACAUUAUUUUUUUGAGUUGGGUCGUCCUCGCAAACGCCGACUUGGUCAGGAAGGGAUGCACUAUGGCUUCUGGAACAUGGUCCUAGUCAUCCACGGAGGGAGGAGAUGAGGUCAUCGAUCAACCCCAACGUGCACAUGAAGAAGAGGCUGAAGUCCCAAUGGAGUUGCAAACCCAAAC